RNAcentral lists this long non-coding RNA (209 nucleotides) under Nicotiana benthamiana. RNAcentral's name for it is "long non-coding RNA (NBEN_LNC001531)". The record is from RNAcentral. Lineage: Eukaryota; Viridiplantae; Streptophyta; Magnoliopsida; Solanales; Solanaceae.
CCGCUCUCUUGUUUACUCUGUACACCUUUUUACGUAUUCUUGCUAGCACUCCGUGUAAGGUUUACUCUGUUUAGUUUGCAUCCUUUUGCGUAUUCAGCUAUAGUGCGUGUGUGCGUCACUACUCUCCGUAGUCGGUUGGAGGGAUAGUGGCCGCGGCGGGGAUGAUAGUAUAAGGUCAUGUCCUUGGGGGGUGGGGGCGCUGGCAGGGG